RNAcentral lists this ribosomal RNA (498 nucleotides) under uncultured bacterium. RNAcentral's name for it is "bacterial SSU rRNA". It matches the Rfam family "Bacterial small subunit ribosomal RNA", at positions 8 to 507 of the family's 1533-position model. The record is from RNAcentral.
AGAGUUUGAUCCUGGCUCAGGAUGAACGCUAGCGGGAGGCCUAACACAUGCAAGCCGAGCGGUAGAGAUUCUUCGGAAUCUUGAGAGCGGCGUACGGGUGCGGAACACGUGUGCAACCUACCUUUAUCUGGAGGAUAGCCUUUCGAAAGGAAGAUUUAAUACUCCAUAAUAUAUUUGAUGGCAUCAUUAAAUAUUGAAAGCUCCGGCGGAUAGAGAUGGGCACGCGCAAGAUUAGCUAGUUGGUGAGGUAACGGCUCACCAAGGCAAUGAUCUUUAGGGGCCUGAGAGGGUGAUCCCCCACACUGGUACUGAGACACGGACCAGACUCCUACGGGAGGCAGCAGUGAGGAAUAUUGGUCAAUGGGUGCAAGCCUGAACCAGCCAUCCCGCGUGAAGGACGACUGCCUAUGGGUUGUAAACUUCUUUUGUAUAGGGAUAAACCUACUCUCGUGAGAGUAGCUGAAGGUACUAUACGAAUAAGCACCGGCUAACUCCGUG